RNAcentral lists this ribosomal RNA (482 nucleotides) under uncultured bacterium. RNAcentral describes it as "partial 16S ribosomal RNA". It matches the Rfam family "Bacterial small subunit ribosomal RNA", at positions 30 to 507 of the family's 1533-position model. The record is from RNAcentral.
AUUGAACGCUGGCGGCAUGCUUUACACAUGCAAGUCGAACGGUAACAGGUCUUCGGAUGCUGACGAGUGGCGAACGGGUGAGUAAUACAUCGGAACGUGCCUAGUAGUGGGGGAUAACUACUCGAAAGAGUAGCUAAUACCGCAUGAGAUCUACGGAUGAAAGCAGGGGACCUUCGGGCCUUGUGCUACUAGAGCGGCUGAUGGCAGAUUAGGUAGUUGGUGGGGUAAAGGCUUACCAAGCCUGCGAUCUGUAGCUGGUCUGAGAGGACGACCAGCCACACUGGGACUGGGACACGGCCCAGACUCCUACGGGAGGCAGCAGUGGGGAAUUUUGGACAAUGGGCGAAAGCCUGAUCCAGCAAUGCCGCGUGCAGGAUGAAGGCCCUCGGGUUGUAAACUGCUUUUGUACGGAACGAAAAGCCUGGGGCUAAUAUCCCCGGGUCAUGACGGUACCGUAAGAAUAAGCACCGGCUAACUACGUG